AGUGAACGCUGGCGGUAGGCCUAACACAUGCAAGUCGAACGGCAGCACAGUAAGAGCUUGCUCUUACGGGUGGCGAGUGGCGGACGGGUGAGGAAUACAUCGGAAUCUACUUUUUCGUGGGGGAUAACGUAGGGAAACUUACGCUAAUACCGCAUACGACCUACGGGUGAAAGCAGGGGAUCUUCGGACCUUGCGCGAUUGAAUGAGACGAUGUCGGAUUAGCUAGUUGGGGGGGUAAAGGCACACCAAGGCAACGAUCCGUAGCUGGUCUGAGAGGAUGAUCAGCCACACUGGAACUGAGACACGGUCCAGACUCCUACGGGAGGCAGCAGUGGGGAAUAUUCGACAAUGGGCGCAAGCCUGAUCCAGCCAUACCGCGUGAGUGAAGAAGGCCUUCGGAUUGUAAAGCCCUUUUGUUGGGAAAGAAAAUCAGCAGAUUAAUACCCCGCUGUUCUGACGGUACCCAAAGAAUAAGCACCGGCUAACUUCGUG
RNAcentral lists this ribosomal RNA (492 nucleotides) under uncultured bacterium. RNAcentral's name for it is "partial 16S ribosomal RNA". It matches the Rfam family "Bacterial small subunit ribosomal RNA", at positions 29 to 507 of the family's 1533-position model. The record is from RNAcentral.